This 128-nucleotide transfer RNA is filed under the name Aeromonas veronii. RNAcentral describes it as "tRNA-OTHER". Lineage: Bacteria; Pseudomonadati; Pseudomonadota; Gammaproteobacteria; Aeromonadales; Aeromonadaceae. The record is from RNAcentral.
GGCUGGGUAGCUUAGCGGUUAAAGCGGCCCUAGCGCUCCCCCUCAUGUGGGGGGAGCCUCUCUUCUAAUGGCAUCUAUUUUAGUCGUUAUUAGAAGGGUAGAUUGGAGUUCGAAUCUCCACCCAGUCU